Molecule: transfer RNA, 69 nt
Filed under: Marmota monax (woodchuck)
Lineage: Eukaryota; Metazoa; Chordata; Mammalia; Rodentia; Sciuridae
Description: tRNA.Ser
Source: RNAcentral
GGGGUUGUGGCUCAGUGGUAGAGUGCUUACCUAGAACAUAUGAGGCAUGGGGUUUGAUCCCCAGUACCA